GGCAGCUCUACAGGGCUCGUGGAUCACUGCGGCGGCCUCCUGCUGCACCGUGACCGGAGGACCCUCUGCGUGAUCAACCCGGCCACCAGGCGCUGGGAAGAUCUUCCAUGGGAGGACGACGGCUGCGACGCGUACCUUGUGUUUGACCCUGCUGAAUCGCUGCACUAUCAGGUCUUCUCGGUGCCGCGCGAGCUCGAGAAGGUGGUACUGAAGCCACACGAUGAGUUAGAAGAGGAUUUCAUCCGAUGGCCACCAUCCAUCUGGACGUUAGAUGUGUUCUCAUCCAGCACAAGGCAGUGGGAGAAGAGAUCGUUUGUUCGUGAAGCAGAAGCUCCGGAGACAAUGACUGAUGCGCGACUAGAUCUAUUAGAUCCAUUAUCCAUGUCAUGGAGCCGUCAGACGGGUAGCUGCAGUGUGUAUUGGCGAGGAUCGCUCUACGUGAAUUUUUACGGUGUGUUUGUUGUGAGGUUAUCUUUCUCGAAUGGGAAGUACCGAGUAAUCAAAACACCGGUAAAUGAUGAGGAGAGCAUUCACGUGCACUCUUAUGUUGGGAAAUCGGAACAUGGUGUGUACUUUGCAACAGUUCAUGAUGGAUGUCGACUUCAGGUUUGGACUCUCAUGGAAUCAAGUGAACGGGUAGAUUGGGUGUCGAAGAAACAUAUCGAUCUGGGAAAUGCAACUCUACCAUUGUGCCAGCCAGAUUAUAUGGAGGGAACUGGAAAAACUUGGAUUUUGGACGACGAUGAUGAUGUGAAUGGCAACAGUAGAGACAUAAGGAGGGAAAAUUUGGACUGGGACUCCGAUGAUGAUAACAUUGUGAAUAUUGAAGAUUCUUCUUAUCAUUAUUCCCACACCUAUGUCUCCUUUCUCGGGUUUCAUCCCUACAAAGAAGUUGUUUUCUUGGCGUUGGCAUCAUACAAA
Molecule: ribosomal RNA, 921 nt
Filed under: Triticum aestivum (bread wheat)
Lineage: Eukaryota; Viridiplantae; Streptophyta; Magnoliopsida; Poales; Poaceae
Description: partial small subunit ribosomal RNA
Source: RNAcentral